CGCUUCAGUUCGCACCAUCUGGCGACGCUUCUAGUGACCCUUCGCCUCCCACCACAACCGGCAACACAUUAGUUCGUAUAAUGGGUAUCAGUUUAUGUAGGGGUUGGCACGUGUUAUGUGAAAGUGGAGGAUGAUGACUAAAUACACAUUGUUUGCAACAACUUUGGAUUUUUUCUGAAAGUUGUAAACUUAGCUUGAGCAAAGUUUUUGGUCCCUCAGCUCAACAAAGAGAUCUUUAUGAUCAAACAGUGAUUCCAAUAGUACAUGAAGUUUUAGAAGGCUUCAAUUGUACCAAGAGGAGCGAGCUAGGGACCAAGAGGCACGAGCUAAGCAAGAGGCAUGAGGACAUCUUCCGUUAGUUCUAAUUAUAUUAUGCUAUACUUUUUGUAUUGUUAUAAAACAUCUUGAGUUAUUGUAUGUGUUGCAAACAAUUA
Quercus lobata is the source of this 434-nucleotide long non-coding RNA. RefSeq lists it as uncharacterized. The transcript has 4 exons. The record is from RefSeq and is a predicted model, not a curated record. NCBI's taxonomy places the organism in Eukaryota, Viridiplantae, Streptophyta, Magnoliopsida, Fagales, Fagaceae.